AAACCGGUUAUCCAUUUCCUUGCAUGAGAAAAUUGAAAGGUGGUUUUAGCUACCAUUAAAGAUGGACCCGGGGGCAUUAGUUAGUUGUGAGGUAACGGCUCACCAAGGCAACGAUGCGUAGCCGACCUGAGAGGGUGAUCGCCACACUGGGACUGAGACACGGCCCAGAUUCUUACGGGAGGCAGCAGUAGGAAUCUUCCGCAAUGGACGAAAGUCUGACGGAGCAACGCCGCGUGAGUGAUGAAGGUUUUCGGAUCGUAAAGCUCUGUUGUUAGGGAAGAACAAGUGCCGUUCGAAUAGGGCGGCACCUUGACGGUACCUAACCAGAAAGCCACGGCUAACUACGUGCCAGCAGCCGCGGUAAUACGUAGGUGGCAAGCGUUGUCCGGAAUUAUUGGGCGUAAAGCGCGCGCAGGUGGUUCCUUAAGUCUGAUGUGAAAGCCCACGGCUCAACCGUGGAGGGUCAUUGGAAACUGGGGAACUUGAGUGCAGAAGAGGAAAGUGGAAUUCCAAGUGUAGCGGUGAAAUGCGUAGAUAUUUGGAGGAACACCAGUGGCGAAGGCGACUUUCUGGUCUGUAACUGACACUGAGGCGCGAAAGCGUGGGGAGCAAACAGGAUUAGAUACCCUGGUAGUCCACGCCGUAAACGAUGAGUGCUAAGUGUUAGGGGGUUUCCGCCCCUUAGUGCUGCAGCUAACGCAUUAAGCACUCCGCCUGGGGAGUACGGUCGCAAGACUGAAACUCAAAGGAAUUGACGGGGGCCCGCACAAGCGGUGGAGCAUGUGGUUUAAUUCGAAGCAACGCGAAGAACCUUACCAGGUCUUGACAUCCUCUGACAACCCUAGAGAUAGGGCUUUCCCCUUCGGGGGACAGAGUGACAGGUGGUGCAUGGUUGUCGUCAGCUCGUGUCGUGAGAUGUUGGGUUAAGUCCCGCAACGAGCGCAACCCUUGAUCUUAGUUGCCAGCAUUCAGUUGGGCACUCUAAGAUGACUGCCGGUGACAAACCGGAGGAAGGUGGGGAUGACGUCAAAUCAUCAUGCCCCUUAUGACCUGGGCUACACACGUGCUACAAUGGACGGUACAAAGGGCAGCGAGACCGCGAGGUUUAGCCAAUCCCAUAAAACCGUUCUCAGUUCGGAUUGUAGGCUGCAACUCGCCUACAUGAAGCUGGAAUCGCUAGUAAUCGCGGAUCAGCAGCCG
RNAcentral lists this ribosomal RNA (1200 nucleotides) under Rossellomorea vietnamensis. RNAcentral's name for it is "bacterial SSU rRNA". It matches the Rfam family "Bacterial small subunit ribosomal RNA", at positions 166 to 1359 of the family's 1533-position model. The record is from RNAcentral. Lineage: Bacteria; Bacillati; Bacillota; Bacilli; Caryophanales; Bacillaceae.